This 1431-nucleotide ribosomal RNA is filed under the name uncultured bacterium. RNAcentral's name for it is "16S ribosomal RNA". It matches the Rfam family "Bacterial small subunit ribosomal RNA". The record is from RNAcentral.
CAGGCUUAACACAUGCAAGUCGAGGGGCAGCAUGGUCUUAGCUUGCUAAGGCCGAUGGCGACCGGCGCACGGGUGAGUAACACGUAUCCAACCUGCCGUCUACUCUUGGACAGCCUUCUGAAAGGAAGAUUAAUACAAGAUGGCAUCAUGAGUCCACAUGUUCACAUGAUUAAAGGUAUUCCGGUAGACGAUGGGGAUGCGUUCCAUUAGAUAGUAGGCGGGGUAACGGCCCACCUAGUCUUCGAUGGAUAGGGGUUCUGAGAGGAAGGUCCCCCACAUUGGAACUGAGACACGGUCCAAACUCCUACGGGAGGCAGCAGUGAGGAAUAUUGGUCAAUGGGCGAGAGCCUGAACCAGCCAAGUAGCGUGAAGGAUGACUGCCCUAUGGGUUGUAAACUUCUUUUAUAAAGGAAUAAAGUCGGGUAUGGAUACCCGUUUGCAUGUACUUUACGAAUAAGGAUCGGCUAACUCCGUGCCAGCAGCCGCGGUAAUACGGAGGAUCCGAGCGUUAUCCGGAUUUAUUGGGUUUAAAGGGAGCGUAGAUGGAUGUUUAAGUCAGUUGUGAAAGUUUGCGGCUCAACCGUAAAAUUGCAGUUGAUACUGGAUAUCUUGAGUGCAGUUGAGGCAGGCGGAAUUCGUGGUGUAGCGGUGAAAUGCUUAGAUAUCACGAAGAACUCCGAUUGCGAAGGCAGCCUGCUAAGCUGCAACUGACAUUGAGGCUCGAAAGUGUGGGUAUCAAACAGGAUUAGAUACCCUGGUAGUCCACACGGUAAACGAUGAAUACUCGCUGUUUGCGAUAUACAGCAAGCGGCCAAGCGAAAGCGUUAAGUAUUCCACCUGGGGAGUACGCCGGCAACGGUGAAACUCAAAGGAAUUGACGGGGGCCCGCACAAGCGGAGGAACAUGUGGUUUAAUUCGAUGAUACGCGAGGAACCUUACCCGGGCUUAAAUUGCAGAUGAAUUACGGUGAAAGCCGUAAGCCGCAAGGCAUCUGUGGAGGUGCUGCAUGGUUGUCGUCAGCUCGUGCCGUGAGGUGUCGGCUUAAGUGCCAUAACGAGCGCAACCCUUGUUGUCAGUUACUAACAGGUUCCGCUGAGGACUCUGACAAGACUGCCAUCGUAAGAUGUGAGGAAGGUGGGGAUGACGUCAAAUCAGCACGGCCCUUACGUCCGGGGCUACACACGUGUUACAAUGGGGGGUACAGAGGGCCGCUACCACGCGAGUGGAUGCCAAUCCCAAAAACCUCUCUCAGUUCGGACUGGAGUCUGCAACCCGACUCCACGAAGCUGGAUUCGCUAGUAAUCGCGCAUCAGCCACGGCGCGGUGAAUACGUUCCCGGGCCUUGUGCACACCGCCCGUCAAGCCAUGGGAGCCGGGGGUACCUGAAGUGCGUAACCGCGAGGAGCGCCCUAGGGUAAAACUGGUGACUGG